Drosophila virilis is the source of this 967-nucleotide non-coding RNA. The record is from RefSeq and is a predicted model, not a curated record. NCBI's taxonomy places the organism in Eukaryota, Metazoa, Arthropoda, Insecta, Diptera, Drosophilidae.
CCUGAUUUUCGUUUUUGUGGCUUUCAGAGUAAAAGUUUAGGUGUUCUUUUUUUUUUUAAGAAAAGUCCUAAAUAAUUGGUAUGAAAUUUGCUCAGUAGUCAAGAAAUUUAGAAAGCUUGUUAACAUGGACACUCCACAAGGAAAUCAGUUGACUUUUGUGCAAUUGAUUGGAAAAGAAUUCGAAAAUGAGGAGGUCUAUAUAUCUAGGGAUUUGAGUGUCGGGCACACGUAGCCAAUGUAAUCAACAGCUGUAAUCAAGGUCCACACAUGCAGAGCCACAAAUUACUGCACACAAGUCAAGCCUUAUAAAUUGUACACUCCAUCCAUAAUAAUCCUCUUCCACUCAACCACCUAGAACGCUGUCCCAAGUGCCCAAGGGGUAGCAACGGAAGGCGGAGGCGAGAAAGAAAAAAGUGCGUCACUUAAAAGUUUUGCACUCACUUGACCAGAAACUUUUAUUUUCUGUUAGGAAAUUUCCCACGGGUGCCCAAAAGCCAGUAACAAAAUUCAUAUUUAAUUUUAGUAGAGCUGCGACGUCACAAAUCUCAGAGGUAAUCAAACAGAUUGAGAGCCGCAUUUUGUUCAAUUUCAUUUGGCGCAAAGCCCUCAGCUACACACAAAUCCAUAUGUACACAUGUAUAUAUUUAUGUAUAGUAUCUUUACUACAUACAUAUAUUUAAUUAGACUCGUAAGUGAUCGCCUGGUCGUCGACUUGGUUUAUAUUUCAGCCUUCUUGACUUUGUCGUCUGCAAAUUUAACGCAGCACAAUAAAAAUGUCAAACUACGUACACAACUUUGCGGACAAAAAAGAACAACCAAUGGCGCUGUAGGCAGGCAUGACUGACUAGAAUAUACCCUCUACUUAGCACAAUUACAAUUUAAGAAUACACAUAUUUUUUAAUAGAAUUUUUAUAAUAAUAUUGUAAAUAUAUAGAAAAAGUAAACACCACAACUAGCUAAAUCAUCA